RNAcentral lists this ribosomal RNA (360 nucleotides) under uncultured bacterium. Its description in RNAcentral is "bacterial SSU rRNA". It matches the Rfam family "Bacterial small subunit ribosomal RNA", at positions 28 to 412 of the family's 1533-position model. The record is from RNAcentral.
GAUAAACGCUGGCGGCGUGCCUAACACAUGCAAGUCGAACGAUCCCGCAAGGGAGAGUGGCGGAAGGGUGAGUAACACGUGGGAAUCUACCUCCUCGCAGGGAACAACCUCUCGAAAGAGAGGCUAAUACCCAAAAGGGUCAGAAAUGAUCAGAGUCGAAAGGCGUGAGGAAGAGGAGCCCGCGGCCCAUCAGCUAGUUGGUGAGGUAAUGGCUUACCAAGGCUACGACGGGUAGGGGAUCUGAGAGGAUGUCCCCCACACUGGAACUGAAACACGGUCCAGACGCCUACGGGUGGCAGCAGUGAGGAAUAUUGGACAAUGGGCGAAAGCCCGAUCCAGCAACGCCGCGUGGAGGAUGAA